GAUCAUUUAGCCAGCUUUCAAACUCCCCGGCGUCUGCCACGGGCGCAGCCAUCUUGGCCCUUUGGGGUCUUUUCGGCGGCGCACGGCUGUCUUUUCUCAUUGCCUGUUCGAAAAGUGUUGUACAGAAGAUGACGUCAGUGAUCCAACCUGUGCAACAUGACGGGUGGGUGGACACCAGGUGAGGGACAAGUCACUAACCGGCCCACUGUUAUGUGGACCAGUAUCGACGACCAGGCAGUCAUUAGGACAUCACACUUGAGCUGACGAGCAGAGAAUUCAGGGGACAUGUCCACGCCGAUUGUUUAAUUUGAUGGCUGUGAUUCUGCGCUGAACUGGUCACACCACCGGCCCAGCUGUUUCUCCUGCCUCAAGCAGCAGACGCACAUUCUCCCAGAGGUCCGAGCAGCCCAGCGGUGUCCUGAAGUUACCAGGACUGCAGGAUGUAUUGUGACAGACUUUAAAUGUGAGGAAGAGGAGCCCUUGUCACCCAUCACCUCUGUGAGAUGAAAGGCCCCGAAAGCAGCCAGCCACCCUGCUGGACACAGCUCAGCUGUUAUAAGAAGUGUUUGACAGGAGUGGCAGGUACUUGACCUUCUCUCUGGCUUUCUCUCUCUCACACUUCCACUCUUCUUUGCUCUCUCUUUUCUCUCACUCUUACUCUGUGUCGCUGCCUCGCCACAGGCUGACCACUCUUUGCGCCACAGCCUCUUGGGUGUUGUCAGGGAGCUAACAGUCCCAGUGCUCUGUAGUACGCCUGCGUUUGUUGUUUGUUUAUUCCAUCUAUUUUCAAUGAAUACAACAGUGGAAGCCUUGUGGUGGUGUUGA
Molecule: long non-coding RNA, 825 nt
Organism: Sander lucioperca (pikeperch)
Lineage: Eukaryota; Metazoa; Chordata; Actinopteri; Perciformes; Percidae
Exons: 5
Source: RefSeq, a predicted model, not a curated record